Molecule: long non-coding RNA, 201 nt
Organism: Sphaeramia orbicularis (orbiculate cardinalfish)
Lineage: Eukaryota; Metazoa; Chordata; Actinopteri; Kurtiformes; Apogonidae
Exons: 3
Source: RefSeq, a predicted model, not a curated record
AAAACACUGCUAUUAUUUUAUUCAUUACUGUGGUAAUAAAUGUUACCAUUUCUUGUUCAUGAUAUUCUGUCUAACUGGGGGUAGGGGCGCCUCGCCUGUUCAGUUAGAUCUUGGAAAUAGGGGUGGUGUCAAAGUAGUUCAGCAUCCAACUCUCAUACACCAUACACCCUUCAGGCUGCCACCGGAUAUUCUCGACCUCCU